RNAcentral lists this transfer RNA (71 nucleotides) under Marmota monax (woodchuck). It matches the Rfam family "tRNA". Rfam says of the family: Transfer RNA (tRNA) molecules are approximately 80 nucleotides in length. Their secondary structure includes four short double-helical elements and three loops (D, anti-codon, and T loops). Further hydrogen bonds mediate the characteristic L-shaped molecular structure. tRNAs have two regions of fundamental functional importance: the anti-codon, which is responsible for specific mRNA codon recognition, and the 3' end, to which the tRNAs corresponding amino acid is attached (by aminoacyl-tRNA synthetases). tRNAs cope with the degeneracy of the genetic code in two manners: having more than one tRNA (with a specific anti-codon) for a particular amino acid; and 'wobble' base-pairing, i.e. permitting non-standard base-pairing at the 3rd anti-codon position. The record is from Rfam by way of RNAcentral. Lineage: Eukaryota; Metazoa; Chordata; Mammalia; Rodentia; Sciuridae.
GCGGUUGAGGCUCAGUGGUAGAGUACUUGCCUAGCAUGUGUGAGGCAUUGGGUUCGAUCCUCAGCACCGCA